CAAAAAUGAACAUUUUAUGUGCACAAAGAUAGUAUCAUAAGAGGUGUGGCGUUUUGCCAUUGGAACCUGGGCAUACGGUCAUUUGUCCUGCAGUUUCUCGUGUACUGAAAGGUGGCGUGGAUCCUACAGUUUCUCGUGUACUGAAAAGCGGUGUGGAUCCUACAGCUUCUCUACUGAAAGGUGGCGUGGAUCCUACAGCUUCUCGUGUACGGAAAGGCGGCGUGGAUCCUACAGCUUCUCGUGUACGGAAAGGCGGUGUGGAUCCUACAGCUUCUCUACUGAAAGGUGGCGUGGAUCCUACAGCUUCUCGUGUACGGAAAGGCGGCGUGGAUCCUACAGCUUCUCGUGUACGGAAAGGCGGCGUGGAGCAGCACAAGGAGCUUGAGCGUUGCAAUGAGAAGUCAUGG
Molecule: long non-coding RNA, 407 nt
Filed under: Homo sapiens (human)
Lineage: Eukaryota; Metazoa; Chordata; Mammalia; Primates; Hominidae
Description: non-protein coding lnc-ICOSLG-6:13
Source: RNAcentral